UCNCUAGUAACUGCGAGUGAAGCGGGAAGAGCUCAAAUUUAAAAUCUGGCAGCCUUUGGCUGUCCGAGUUGUAAUUUAGAGAAGUGUUACCCGUGCUGGACCGUAUACAAGUCCUCUGGAAUGGGGCGUCAUAGAGGGUGAGAAUCCCGUCUUUGAUACGGACUACCAGUGCUUUGCGGUGCGCUCUCGAAGAGUCGAGUUGUUUGGGAAUGCANCUCAAAAUGGGUGGUAAAUUCCAUCUAAAGCUAAAUAUAGGCGAGAGACCGAUAGCNAANNNGUACCGUGAGGGAAAGAUGAAAAGAACUUUGGAAAGAGAGUUAAACAGUACGUGAAAUUGCUGAAAGGGAAACGCUUGAAGUCAGUCGCGUCGUUCAAGAAUCAGCCUCGCUUUUGCUUGGUGCACUUCUUGUUCGACGGGUCAGCAUCAGUUUUGACCACUGGAUAAAGGCUAGGGAAAUGUGGCAUCUCCGGAUGUGUUAUAGUCUCUUGUCGUAUACAGUGGUUAGGACUGAGGAACUCAGCACGCCGCAAGG
RNAcentral lists this ribosomal RNA (533 nucleotides) under Agaricales sp. ecm268. Its description in RNAcentral is "eukaryotic LSU rRNA". It matches the Rfam family "Eukaryotic large subunit ribosomal RNA", at positions 77 to 610 of the family's 3401-position model. Lineage: Eukaryota; Fungi; Basidiomycota; Agaricomycetes; Agaricales. The record is from RNAcentral.